AAUUUAUCAACAUAUAUUAAAUAUUUAAUAGUCUACAUAGUACUUAUUUAAAAACAGCAUUUAAAAUGUGACGCUCGUCGGUACUUGUCGAUAAACAGUAUUAAUUAAAAUACAUAGUCUGCAAUAUAACUGCACUCAUGCCUUAUUCCAAGCAACCGAUCAUAUUAUGUAUUACUUAGUUAAGACUUUCAAGAGUAUUUUCAAGGCACUCAAAAACUUACUGUCGAAUAAGGGGACAGCUAUUGGCGAGUGAGAAAGGUUGACUGCAUA
This is a non-coding RNA of Cinara cedri, 270 nucleotides long. Lineage: Eukaryota; Metazoa; Arthropoda; Insecta; Hemiptera; Aphididae. The record is from the annotation of a GenBank genome assembly.